Non-coding RNA from Cricetulus griseus (Chinese hamster), 1154 nucleotides. The record is from RefSeq and is a predicted model, not a curated record. Lineage: Eukaryota; Metazoa; Chordata; Mammalia; Rodentia; Cricetidae.
UUCUUCAGCAUCCUGCCUCACUAGGUGGCAUCUGGAGCAUAGACUUUCAAUAAGUCAGCUGUCCUUGUGGGUGGCUCAAAUGGCCUCUCGUCUCCCAGUGACAAGCCUGAUUCCUGUAUCGUGCCCAUAUGGCCCUUAGGGUCCCUUCUAGAGGUACUGAAUUCUAGGUCCUGGAAGAGCCCUCGCCGUAGUGACCCAUCCCACCUGUCCUGUCAGAGAAGAGGUCUGUGGUGAGGCAGUUGGUCCCAGCUCCCUCUGCAUGAGGACUUCGUGCUUUGACCUCAGUCUCUGAGCAAGGUCUCAUGUAUACAGCUCAGGCUGGCCUCCAGUGUAGCAGAGGAUGGCUUUGAACUUCUGAUCUUCUUGUCUUCAUCUGUAAGUUGUGGGAUUACCAUGCUCCACGUAAUGCAGAACUGGGGUUGCAACCUGGGACUUCCUGCAUGCAAGCUUUUCCAUCUGCACUGCCGGACCAGAUCCCUGCAGCCAGCAUCGCGGGCAGCCAGGCCAGCCGUCCCCAGCGUCUUCCUAUUUUAGACAUCUCGCCGCCUCGGUCCCUUCUAAUGUUUCCAGGCAGGCUGCAGGGGGAGGAAAAAGAGGUUACUGCUACUUUAAAUGUACUGUAUGAAGGCGAGGGCUGGAAAGGGGCCUGCUUGCAGGAAUACCCAGUCAUCUAGUUGGAGAAGCCGCCAGAUGGAAUACAAAAGGAGAAGCUCAGGCGCUCAUGGAGACGGCCUCGGUUCAUAAAUCAGGUGGGGCCGCGGCCCAGGGGCCCACACACCAUGGAGCCCGACUCCCUCCUGGACCCAGGCGACUCCUACGAGUCACCACAAGAAAGGCCGGGCUCCCGGCGCAGCCUUCCCGGCAGCCUGUCAGAGAAAAGCCCCAGCAUGGAGCCCUCGGCUGCAACCCCGUUCCGGGUCACGGUAACUAUCUCUGCGUCACCACGGCCACUGCCACCACCAUCACCACCUCGCCCUGUGGGGCUGCUCUGCGACCCCGCAUUCCCCUUCCUGGAGCCUCAUGGACCGGGAGAGCCUCCAGCCUCCCUUGCUCUAGGUAUCCAAUCCCCUGGCGGCUCCCUGUUCUCUGGGGGCCACAUGGGGUCCCAUUCUUUGAGGGAGGGGGCAGGUGGAGGACAGAGCCUAGGAGGCCAC